UUCGUUUCCUCGGCGGGUUCGCCCGCCGAUUGGACAAUUUAAACCAUUUGCAGUUGCAAUCAGCGUCUGAAAAAACAUAAUAGUUACAACUUUCAACAACGGAUCUCUUGGUUCUGGCAUCGAUGAAGAACGCAGCGAAAUGCGAUAAGUAGUGUGAAUUGCAGAAUUCAGUGAAUCAUCGAAUCUUUGAACGCACAUUGCGCCCCUUGGUAUUCCAUGGGGCAUGCCUGUUCGAGCGUCAUUUGUACCUUCAAGCUCUGCUUGGUGUUGGGUGUUUGUCUCGCCUCUGCGCGUAGACUCGCCUCAAAACAAUUGGCAGCCGGCGUAUUGAUUUCGGAGCGCAGUACAUCUCGCGCUUUGCAUUCAGAACGACGACAUCCAAAAGUACAUUUUUACACUCUUGACCUCGGAUCAGGUAGGGAUACCCGCUGAACUUAAGCAUAUC
RNAcentral lists this ribosomal RNA (445 nucleotides) under Didymella pinodella. RNAcentral's name for it is "eukaryotic LSU rRNA". The stretch from base 88 to 241 matches the Rfam family "5.8S ribosomal RNA". The record is from RNAcentral. Lineage: Eukaryota; Fungi; Ascomycota; Dothideomycetes; Pleosporales; Didymellaceae.